UACGUAGGGGCCUAGCGUUGUCCGGAUUUAUUGGGCGUAAAGAGCUCGUAGGCGGUUUGGUGAGUCGGGUGUGAAAUCUCCACGCUCAACGUGGAGGAGCCACCCGAUACUGCCAUGACUAGAGUCCGGUAGGGGAGUGUGGAAUUCCCGGUGUAGCGGUGAAAUGCGCAGAUAUCGGGAGGAACACCAGUGGCGAAGGCGACUACCUGGCCUGUUCUUGACGCUGAGGCGCGAAAGCUAGGGGAGCAAACGGG
Molecule: ribosomal RNA, 254 nt
Filed under: uncultured bacterium
Lineage: Bacteria
Description: partial 16S ribosomal RNA
Rfam family: Bacterial small subunit ribosomal RNA
Source: RNAcentral